This is a small nuclear RNA of Heteronotia binoei (common prickly gecko), 102 nucleotides long. NCBI's taxonomy places the organism in Eukaryota, Metazoa, Chordata, Lepidosauria, Squamata, Gekkonidae. The record is from RefSeq and is a predicted model, not a curated record.
AUAUUAGGAAUAUUUGUUAAAGGGGGGGAGGUAUGGCAGAGAAGAUUAGAAUGGCCCUGGUGCAAGGAUGACAUGCAAAUUUGUGAAGUGUUCCAUAUUUUU